This 452-nucleotide ribosomal RNA is filed under the name uncultured soil bacterium. Its description in RNAcentral is "bacterial SSU rRNA". It matches the Rfam family "Bacterial small subunit ribosomal RNA", at positions 26 to 518 of the family's 1533-position model. The record is from RNAcentral.
AGAACGAACGCUGGCGGCAUGCCUAACACAUGCAAGUCGAACGAGACCUUCGGGUCUAGUGGCGCACGGGUGUGUAACGCGUGGGAAUCUGCCCUUGGGUUCGGGAUAACAGUUGGAAACGACUGCUAAUACCGGAUGAUGACUUCGGUCCAAAGAUUUAUCGCCCAGGGAUGAGCCCGCGUAGGAUUAGCUAGUUGGUGAGGUAAAGGCUCACCAAGGCGACGAUCCUUAGCUGGUCUGAGAGGAUGAUCAGCCACACUGGGACUGAGACACGGCCCAGACUCCUACGGGAGGCAGCAGUGGGGAAUAGUUGGACAAGUGGGCGAAAGCCUGAUCCAGCAAUGCCGCGUGAGUGAUGAAGGCCUUAGGGUUGUAAAGCUUCUUUACCCGGGAUGAUAAUGAACAGUAACGGGAGAAUAACGCCCCGGACUAACCUCCGUGCCAGCAGCCGC